CCUACGGGUUGCAGCAGUGGGGAAUAUUGCACAAUGGGCGCAAGCCUGAUGCAGCCAUGCCGCGUGUAUGAAGAAGGCCUUCGGGUUGUAAAGUACUUUCAGCGGGGAGGAAGGCGAUAAGGUUAAUAACCUUGUCGAUUGGCGUUACCCGCAGAAGAAGCACCGGCUAACUCCGUGCCAGCAGCCGCGGUAAUACGGAGGGUGCAAGCGUUAAUCGGAAUUACUGGGCGUAAAGCGCACGCAGGCGGUCUGUCAAGUCGGAUGUGAAAUCCCCGGGCUCAACCUGGGAACUGCAUUCGAAACUGGCAGGCUAGAGUCUUGUAGAGGGGGGUAGAAUUCCAGGUGUAGCGGUGAAAUGCGUAGAGAUCUGGAGGAAUACCGGUGGCGAAGGCGGCCCCCUGGACAAAGACUGACGCUCAGGUGCGAAAGCGUGGGGAGCAAACAGGAUUAGAUACCCCGGUAGUC
This 465-nucleotide ribosomal RNA is filed under the name uncultured bacterium. Its description in RNAcentral is "bacterial SSU rRNA". It matches the Rfam family "Bacterial small subunit ribosomal RNA", at positions 338 to 795 of the family's 1533-position model. The record is from RNAcentral.